This 414-nucleotide ribosomal RNA is filed under the name uncultured microorganism. RNAcentral's name for it is "bacterial SSU rRNA". It matches the Rfam family "Archaeal small subunit ribosomal RNA", at positions 330 to 745 of the family's 1478-position model. The record is from RNAcentral.
GUGCAGCAGGCGAGAAACCUCCGCAAUGCGGGAAACCGUGACGGGGUCACCCCGAGUGCCACCCGAUGAGGGUGGCUUUUCCCCGGUCUAAAAAGCCGGGGGCAAUAAGCGGGGGGCAAGUCUGGUGUCAGCCGCCGCGGUAAUACCAGCCCCGCGAGUGGUCGGGACGUUUAUUGGGCCUAAAGCGUCCGUAGCCGGCUCGGUAAGUCCCUCCUUAAAUCCACGGGCUCAACCCGUGGGCUGGGAGGGAUACUGCCGGGCUAGGGGGCGGGAGAGGCCGAGGGUACUCCCGGGGUAGGGGCGAAAUCCGUUAAUCCCGGGAGGACCACCAGUGGCGAAGGCGCUCGGCUGGAACGCGCCCGACGGUGAGGGACGAAAGCUGGGGGAGCAAAGGGGAUUAGAUACCCCUGUAGU